AAUUACCCACGAUAAUAGAUCUGUCAUUGCAGCAAGCAGUUCAAACAACUUAUAUGCAUGGGACAUCAGUUCUGGAAGGGUGCGCCAUACAUUGACUGGUCACUCAGACAAAGUAUGUGCUGUAGAUGUAAGCAAAAUUUCUAGCCGCUAUGUUGUGAGUGCUGCAUAUGAUCGCACCAUUAAAAUUUGGGAUCUACAGAAGGGUUACUG
This 210-nucleotide unclassified non-coding RNA is filed under the name Hevea brasiliensis (rubber tree). The record is from RNAcentral. Lineage: Eukaryota; Viridiplantae; Streptophyta; Magnoliopsida; Malpighiales; Euphorbiaceae.